This 417-nucleotide ribosomal RNA is filed under the name uncultured bacterium. RNAcentral's name for it is "partial 16S ribosomal RNA". It matches the Rfam family "Bacterial small subunit ribosomal RNA", at positions 360 to 774 of the family's 1533-position model. The record is from RNAcentral.
AAUAUUGGACAAUGGCCGAGAGGCUGAUCCAGCCAUGCCGCGUGCGGGAAGACGGCCCUAUGGGUUGUAAACCGCUUUUGUUGGGGAGCAAUAAGGAUCACGUGUGGUCCGACGAGAGUACCCAGCGAAUAAGCAUCGGCUAACUCCGUGCCAGCAGCCGCGGUAAUACGGAGGAUGCAAGCGUUAUCCGGAUUUAUUGGGUUUAAAGGGUGCGUAGGCGGAUGCCUAAGCGUGAGGUGAAAUCCCCGGGCUCAACCUGGGAACUGCCUCGCGAACUGGGUGUCUGGAAUGCUCCUGCCGUGGGAGGAAUGUGUGGUGUAGCGGUGAAAUGCAUAGAGAUCACACAGAACACCGAUUGCGAAGGCAUCUCACGAAGGGGUGAUUGACGCUGAGGCACGAAAGCGUGGGGAUCAAACA